RNAcentral lists this ribosomal RNA (478 nucleotides) under Antigona chemnitzii. RNAcentral's name for it is "partial large subunit ribosomal RNA". It matches the Rfam family "Bacterial large subunit ribosomal RNA", at positions 1835 to 2620 of the family's 2925-position model. The record is from RNAcentral. Lineage: Eukaryota; Metazoa; Mollusca; Bivalvia; Venerida; Veneridae.
CCGGAUUUUUAGAUGAGAGUUAGACCUGCCCGGUGAAAUUUAAACGGCUGCAACGAGAGUUGUGCUAAGGUAGCGUGAUAAGUUGUCUUUUAAUUGGAGAAUGGUAUGAAUGGUUUCACGUAGGAUUUCUGUCUUUAUGGAAUAGCAUGAAGUUUCCUUUUAAGUGAAAAGGCUUAAAUUUUUGUAAAAGAAGAGAAGACCCUGUCGAGCUUAAUUAAUAUUAUUUGUUGUUGGUAAUUAAAAUUUUUGUUGGGGCAAUAUAAAUCAAGAUAGCGGUUUAAUAUAAAAUUUAGAUCCUUUAGUGAGAGAAAAUAGCAGAAGCUACCGCAGGGAUAACAGCGUUAUCCUUUCUGGGAGAUCGAAUUGAGGGAAGGGUUUGCGACCUCGAUGUUGGAUUAUGGAAACAUUACGGUGCAGCAGCUGUAAUUGUAAGACUGUUCGUCUUUUAAAUCCGUACAUGAUCUGAGUUCAGACCGGA